CUUGUCAACAUCUCUAUUCUAAUGCCUGUUCUUAGACAUCUAAAUUAUCAUCAAAAUGUGAUGUAAAUUAACUCAGGUUCAACCCGACUGCAGGGUGUUCUGGCUCAUGUACUGCAGAAGACACAAAUUUUGCUUUUGAGUGACUGGCUUAUGAAUGACACAGCUUCAGUGAGCUUUAGCGAAAGAUGCUGAGCAGUUUCACUCCUGGCCAAAAUGGGGAUAGAAGAUUUCCAAGAACAUCCCCUCCCUCCCUGGUACUCUGAAAAGUGGUCUGAAGGUCAGUUGAUGGUACACUCCUAUCUGCAUCAGUCCAGAGAUGGAUCUAAAACACCCGAUCCAAAUCUCCUCAGAUAUCUUUGAGCAUACAGUAGAACCUCAGAGCUAUGAACACCAGAGUUACCAAUUGGCUGGUCAACCACACACCUCAUUUGGAACCGAAAGUACGCAAUCAAGCAUCAGAGACACACCCUCCCCCAAAAAAUCCCCCAAAAGCAAAUACUGUACAGUACAGUACUGUGUUAAACAUAAACUACUAAAAAAAUAAAGGCGAAGUUUA
Malaclemys terrapin pileata is the source of this 556-nucleotide long non-coding RNA. RefSeq lists it as uncharacterized. The transcript is spliced from 3 exons. The record is from RefSeq and is a predicted model, not a curated record. NCBI's taxonomy places the organism in Eukaryota, Metazoa, Chordata, Testudines, Emydidae.